Molecule: RNA transcript, 15698 nt
Organism: Dermochelys coriacea (leatherback sea turtle)
Lineage: Eukaryota; Metazoa; Chordata; Testudines; Dermochelyidae
Gene: ITPKA
Gene name: inositol-trisphosphate 3-kinase A
Exons: 10
Source: RefSeq, a predicted model, not a curated record
GUGGGCCUGACUCCUCCCUCCGGCGGCGACGCUUCCCUCAGCUGCCGCUGCGGCGGGCGGGCUGAGCCAGCCCAGACGGACCUGGCUGCGGCCCCGGCUCGGAGCCUCCCUGCGGGCGGGCGGGCUGGGACAUGACUCUGGGCGCUCCUCGGCCCCCGGCUCCGCGCGGCAGAGGCAGCCAGCGGGAAGUUUGCCCGGGUGCAGCGGCGGCCGGGCUCCCGGCAGCGGCGCGCUCCCCCCAUGCACGCACACAGCCCCCGGCUCCGCAGCGGUGCCCAGGAGGCGCCCCGCACCCGCCCCGCUAUGGACACUAGCUGGGGCCGGCAGAGCAGCCCGGAGCUGGGCAGGGGCAAGCGGCUGAGCGUCGGGGAGCUACGCUUGUUCUUCGAGGCUCACUGCGCCGCGGCCGCGGCCGCCGCCGCACGGGAGCUGCCGGACCUGGCCAAGAGGAGCUGCCGUCCCCGCAACGGGCUGCUGCCGCCGGUCAUCCCGCAGCUGACCGUCACCCCCGAGGAGAGCGAGGAGGCGCAGGGCAGCCCCAAAGGGCCCCCGGCGGACCCGGAGAGCGGCUGGCUGAGGACGGGCAGCUCACUGCACCUGCUGCAGUCCCGCCGGCUCUCCAACUCCUCGCUGUCCUCCACGGGCUCCUCGUCCGUCUUCGAGGACUCCGAGGACGACCUGCUGAGCGACACGGAGGGUAGGAGCCAGGGCAUCGUGCAACUGGAGCACGGGGAGGACACCAACCAGAAAAAAUCAUGGCAUACAAUUAAAACGAUAGUCAACUUACCAGUCAUCAGCCCCUUCAAGAAGCGCUAUUCAUGGGUGCAGCUGGCUGGGCACACAGGGAGUUUCAAGGCAGCUGACAGCGGUACGAUUCUGAAGCGCUUUUCUGACAAUGAAAAGGAGUGCUUUGAGCUGCUGAUGAAAGAUCCCCUGCGCUCCUGUGUCCCUGCCUUCCAUGGGGUGGUAGAGAGAGAUGGCGAGAAAUACAUUCAACUGGAUGACUUGCUCACUGACUUUGAAGGGCCUUGUGUCAUGGACUGUAAGAUGGGGAUCAGGACAUACCUGGAGGAGGAGCUGACUAAAGCCCGUGAGAAGCCAAAGCUGCGUAAGGACAUGUACAAGAAGAUGAUUGAGGUGGAUCCUCUUGCGCCCACAGCUGAGGAGAACACGCAGCAUGCUGUGACCAAGCCACGUUACAUGCAGUGGAGAGAGACCAUCAGCUCCAGUGCCAAUUUGGGCUUCAGGAUAGAAGGGAUUAAGAGGGUUGAUGGGACUUGUAACACAAACUUCAAAACAACUAAGACACGGGAGCAAGUUUUCCAGGUUUUUAUGGAAUUCAUUGAGGGCAACACAACUAUUCUGAAAAAAUACCUCAAGCGUCUGCAUGAUAUCCGCCUCAUCCUCGAGUCCUCAGACUUCUUUAAACGACAUGAGGUCAUUGGAAGUUCACUACUCUUUGUGCAUGAUGACAGCGGACAUGCCAAUGUAUGGCUGAUUGAUUUUGGAAAGACCACACUUCUCUCUGAUGGGCAGACCUUGGACCACAGGAUCCCCUGGCAAGAAGGCAACCGGGAGGAUGGGUACCUGCUGGGAUUGGACAAUUUGAUUAGUAUCUUAGACAGCAUCACUGAAAGAUGAGAAGAGACUCUCACAAACUCAUGGGGCUGCUUUGUAACCUUCUACUCUACUGGGAUCUCUCCAUUAGAGGUAAAACUCCUUUAACUCUCUCCAAACUCCUGGGGUUAUUGCAGUGCAAAUGGUGCUGCUUUCAGACCCAGACCGUUCAUGCUGAAAGUGACUGCAUUGGCCUUCCAGGAACCAGAGUGAUUCAGGAUUGGUUGUUAGUGAACCAAAUUAACUUUGGAUUGGUCCUCCGUGAAUCAGGGUCUCCAAACUCAGGAACCAAACCAGCAUGAAUCCAGGAGAUUUGUACAGUAAAUCAGAAUGACUCUGAUUUCAGGUGAACCAAAGUGACUCUAGAUUACCUGUUAGUGAACCAGAGUAAAUGGCAGACUGCUUGAGAUUAUGGGGAGGGUUGAGCAGAAUUCUCCACUAGAUGGCAUUGCUUUGAAAACAGCAGGAGUGUUUGCUCCCUAACCCCAAGUCACUAGGCUGCCAUUUAUGUUAUAGAUUAGGCAAGGCCCGCCCCAGCUGCUGUAUUACAUUACAAGAGUGUGCAAGAUGGGAACUCCUCCAGGAAUGAGUUCCAGAAAACAUGGGGAGAAGGGUGAUUAUAUUCAUGGCAGGGUUGGUUUAGUGUCUGCAAGGGAUAGCUGCUGUUGACCUUUUCUCUUACUCCCUGCCCUGGCCUAUCCUCUUUUCUAUCUAAGAACAUUCUUAACUAUUUCCAGGUAGUUCCUAAUGAGGUCACAGAGAGCCCAUUAAGUAAAUAGCACCAGGUUGUCUCUGGCACUGUGUGACUUUCAAACUGUGUAUGAUAUUGGAGAGGCUGGUAAAGUGGUAAUGCUGGCUCUGGCAGCUGGACAGCAUUUGUGAAGGUCAAUGGCAUCUCUCUUUAGCAGGUGGGUUGGGGGGCAAAGUUAAUUUUUCAAGGGCUUAGUUAUUUUAGAGAAAAAAACAAGUCCAUCUAAAUAUUAGCAAGCCAGUUAUCAACAUACCAUUUUACACCAAGGCUUAGACUCUCCAUCUUUUUGCUUGUGGGUCAGAUUUCCUGGUGAUGCCAUGUUCAUUCUUUUGCCACACUGAACGUGUCAGGGCAUAAGCUGAGUGGAUCAGAAAUAAUUGUAUCCCCAUAAACAUCAUUACACUGUUGGCUAUAUCUGUUACGGGCAUUCUUCCUUGGAAGCAUGAGGUAUUCACCACUUUUGAAAGCAAGGUAUUAUAUUACUAGACUAGAGGUCUGAUUGCUGUGCCAUAUACCCUGAUUGGGGCCUCUAGGUGCUACCACAAUACAAAUUAACAUUUCUUGCUCAUCCCAUAUCCAGAUAUCUGACAGUGCAGUUUCCAAGUUGGAGCCAUCUGCCAUGUAACAAGACCAUAGAGUCAUUAAGAUUACUUUCUUUUAGAAGCUAAAAGUUUUUUAAGCAACACCAGUUGAUCAGAAAUCACUCUCUUUUGCCAAUACAACUGUAGUCAAAGAAACUUCAGAAAUUUUGGAAUAACUGAAAGUAGUUCCUUGCUUCUGUCGGGAAUCACUACACCAAUGAUCACUGCAAAAUGAGGUAAAUGAGACUGUACAAUUCUUGUUUGGAGCUAAAUGUACAUGACAUAAUGGUUGUAUUAAGGGUUGAGGAGCCUAGGAUAACUUCUAAAGGAAGCCACUUUGGUUCAUUUACUGGAAUGAAGUUGGAGCCCAGUCAAGCUUAAUAACCUCAGUUAUUUUUCAUCUACAUUAAAGAAAGCAUUGAUGUUAAUAGUGCUGACCAUGCCAACUAGAAGAUCAGUUAUACAACGUACCACUGGGGAAACAAUUGAAAUAGAGCAGUGCGAAUAUUUUACACCAAAACUGAAAUUGCUCAAAAUCUGAAAUUUGUUUUUAUAUUUAGUUGAAAAUUCAAAACUUUCCCUAUGUUUGUGAAUCUUUUAGGGUUUAUAUUCAGUGAAAAUGGUCCUGUUUUUGAGCUGAAAAAGAUACAAGUUCGCUUGAAAUAGGACAUGACUUACAGAAAAUGUAGGCCCCUUUUCAAGUGAAUGCAGUCUUUUUGGUAGAAAGCAUGCAUGGUUUUAUUCCAAAUGUCCCUAGGUUGUGAAAUAUUUUAAGAUGGCAAAAUGACCUGCAGUGAAAUUUGCCAAAAAUAUGGUGAAAAAGUUUUCCUACUUUCCCAUAGCCCUAAUAAAAACAACCCUGCUUGCAGUGAUUCAAGAGAACAGGUUAAAAUAGACUAGGAAACACAAAUUGUUCUUUACAGUUUUGAAUCUGAGUUCUUACAGGGGAUAAUUGGAUGAGAAAACCCCUGGUCUUCAUUAUGUGAUUACUACUUCAGGCAGUCCUGUCAGGGACAAAAAUAAUAAAAUCACAGAAGUUAGAGAUGGUCAUGCAGCAAUUCUCCCUGCAAGUGCAAAAUUAUUACUUAAGGUUCAUUUAAUAACACUUUGUCCUGUCUAGUUUUAAUUGGCAGUGAGAGUUAAAUUUCUUUCUUUCGUGAAUACAUAUGCCAGCAUUUUACACCUAUGCAACCUCAUGCUCUAGGGAAAAAUUGGUGAUGAAUUUCCUUUGAGCAGAAUUUAGAAACCAAGAUCUAUCUAGGACUCAUGUUAAAUCCGUUUAGUUCUACAAUUCCAAAUGGAAGUUGGAGGCAACAUGGAAGCAAUAGCUCCAAAAACAGCAGUGCUGUCAUUUGAAAAGAUAUUUUGCAGUAGACAAUCUCAGGGGAAAGUGCUCUGUCAUGGAAAGGGAUCCAUUCCUGUGCACUUGUUGGAAAGGACAGCAGAAAGCAAAGCUUUAUGACAAGAGACAUCGAGCUGUGAAACUCUGUCCAUUUCAAAAUGACAAUUGUAGCAAAGUUGUUUUGAAGUGGCUUUUUGGCCUAUACCAGAACUAGUUUGGAAGAAGCUACAAUCCAACUCCUAGUUGCUGGUAGACAGCUGUGGAGUCAGUUAUAGGAAAGAAGAAAGGGGAGGGAGUUUUGUACAGCAGUUAGAACAUGGAACUGGGAGCCAGGACUCCUAGACUAUUUCCUAUCUAUGCCACUGACUUGCUUUGUGGUCAUGGGCAAACUUCCUAUGCCUCAGUCUUCCCAUCUGUAAAAUGGGAACAAUAAUACUUACCUACCUCACAGGGAUGUUGUGAGGCUUCAUUAAUUAUUGUUCGUAGGGUGCUUUGAGAUCCUUGGAGGAAAGAUGCAGUAUAGAGAAAUGCAAAGAAAUAGUUAAACUGAAUUAAAAACAACUGAUUUUUGUCCAUCCCUUAAGGAUGCAAGUUCAGAUGAAACUCAGCCCAAGAAGUACAAAUUGAAAUCCCUUUUAUGAUGAUAUACAGAGGGAAGAAGUCACUUUGGGUCUGAUCCAGUUCCUGUUGAAGUAAAUGGAAAGACUUCACUGGGAGUUGGACCAAACCCUUAAACAAUUCAGAGGCCCUUGCUUAUUUUUUGUAUUAUUAUUAUUAUUACUGUUUGUUAUUAUCAAGAUACUGAGAACUAAUGGCCUGUAUCCUCUACAGUGCAUCCUGUUCUGAACACUACAGUGCAAUUAUGACCAAAGUCAUUUUUGACAUUCUGACUGUAUCGUUUGAGUACUUGUUAUUCCAAGAGAAACCCUGCAGGAGAUUAUUUCUCCAAAUGUUUCUGUUGGACUUCUUUGAAGUUCCUGUAAGGCAAUGUUUGGUAGCUGUGCUGAUGGAUGGGUAAAUGUUUUAUAUUGGCUUUGCAGGGCAACAGCACACCACAGCUUGCAUUUUGUUCUCAUUGUUGCUCUUUACAUAUUCUAAGAACCGUGUUUGAUGUAGGAGUUCUAAGAGUGCAUCCCAAUACCCAAGACAUAUUUGAUAUAAUGGGAUUUGAGCCCUGAAGGUUAGAAGAGAAACCAGAACAAAUACUGUCUUAACUGGUCACAUCAUGUGCUGCCAUUUUGAAUUUACUUCCACUCAAACUGAGCUCAGUCUAGAAAAUGUUCCAUCUCUUACAAUGAAAGGUUUCUAGGGAGGAACUGGGAAGUGUGUGACGAAGGAAUCCUAUUGUCUCUCAAGGGAAAGUCUUGUCUGUCAAUGGUUUCCCGCAAUGAAUUAUUUUUAUCAACUUUUGGAAGGGGCAUUGAGUCACCUGUAUCUGCUCCAAUAAUCCUGCUGCCUCUGGAAAGGGUAGGGUGGAAAUAUGGAAAUAGCAUCCUCAGAGAAUCCUGCUAUUUUGGAAUGAGCAUAAGGGGUGGGAGUGGACUCAAUCGCCAGCUCUCUCCCUGAGUUUGCUGCUCUUCCUGUAGACCCUGGUGGCACAUACCACUUUCAGUGUUCCUUGUUUUUACUGGGGAAGCCCAAGGAGUUGCAAAUAGAGGGAAGAGAGCAGUGAAAUUCUGCAUGGUGGGAACCAGUAUAGUUUUGUACUUACAGGCAGGCUACUGUAGUCAUUGGUCAGCUCUUGCCACCACAAAACAGGAGCACAGCCAAACUCCAUUGUAGGUGGGAGCAGCAAUUCAGGGUAUCCUGGUGACUGUCCCCAGUGGACUAGCUGAGGUUGGCUCAAGAUCGUGCCUGUUGCUCCACUCGCUCCUGGAGGCUGGGAUCCUGGCCAUCUUUAAGUUACGCACUGAGAAGACACUCAUGGACGAUGAGGGAGGCGAUCCUGCCCUGCUCAGGGCCAAGGAGCCCAGGGCCAGAUUUUAAAAAGAAUGUAGGCACCUGAAGAUGUAGCUAGGCAUCCAGUGGGACUUCCAAAAGCACACAGGUACCUGAAUCCCAUUGGUCUUAGGCAUCCUACCUGCCUAUCUUUGUCUUUAGGUGCUUAGGUAUCUUUACAAAUCUGCCCCCAAGUCACGUGGAAUACAAAGGCCCAUUUGAACUAGAUCCCUCUGCCUAUCAGAGACAGACUGGAUCUAUCCCUAAUACCACACCAAACUUGAUGGCUUCUGCAGGGAUAUAGGUACUGGCCCAUGAAAAUCUCUGGUUCAGUGUCCUAAAACCCAAUGAUUCAUAGCAGUUGAGCUGAUCUCUCCACACUCAGAGCAGCUGAUAACUCCAGCAGGGAACCCAUACUAGGUGCUACCAGAGGAAGAGCAGUGCUCUGUCCUUUGAACCAUCUGGCUCCUGGACUGGCAAUUUUUCAGAGACCUAGUUCUCUCCCCUCUAUCCAGAUGGUGUUAACUUUAACAUAGAGGAGACCAAAUAGACACUGUUAGCAUCUCUUUAUUUUUGUAUUGUAAAUAUAGAAGUAUACAUUUAUCUGGCUUGAUAUUGCAUAGAAGCAAAAUUGGUAUCUACUUAUUUUACAGUGAUCCAAAGGUAGGACAGUGCAGUGUUACCAUAAGCAGUGGUAUCAACAAAUCAAAAGCAAUUCAGUUAAAUAAAGAAGUGGGACAAGGCUCUAGGGUCUCAAUGGGUAUGUCCACAGUGCAAUUAAACAGACUGGCCUGGGUUGGCUGCAGGGCUGUAAAAUGGCAGUGUAGAUGUUUAGGCCUUGGGCUGGAGACCCACCCACCCUGUGAGGUCCCAGAGCUCUGGCUCCAGCCUGAGCAUCUAUACUGCAAUUUUACAGCUCCAGAGACUGACCCCAAAUCAGCUGAUUCAGGCCAACCGUGGGCAUUUAAUUGCAGUGUAGAGACACCCAAUGGUAUUGUCCCUCAUAAGCAUGGGAUUUGUUUUUUUUUCUAAAGUAGGGUAGGAAGGGUAAACUGGCUGGGAUGACAGAGGAAGGCCAGGUUUACAUGGCAAACCCUUGCUAGUAUACCUAUGGCAGUCAGGGCUGUGAUUGACAUAGCUUUGCUGGCAAAAAUGCUUAGUGUAGAAGCAGUUCUACUGAUAUAUCUGCCUUUUUGGCAGUAUAGUGUAUUUUGGAUGCAUCCCUGUGUGUGAGAGAGAAGCUACAAUGGCAAAAGCUGCAUCCAUACAAGGAGUGCACUCCUAGAAUAGUAUAGGUAUACCAGCAAAGCGCUCCUACUGUAGACCUGGCCCAAGAUGGAGGACCAGAGAGAAUGGAACCAACCUUAGGAAAGAGUUGUGAUAGCAGGGCUGGGAAGGGCAUUUUCAGUCAAUGGUAUUUUAAACUGUGCCUAUUUACUUUAAAGCUUAUUUAAAAGGGGGUUGCAGAAGAAGAUACAAACUAGCUGGGGCAGAAGUGUAGAGACUUGAGGAAAGUGGAUAUAAUGGGUGUUGUGAGAGUGAAGCCGAGACAGGCAGAAAGGCAAUUCCAAAAAGAAAGACCAGUUAGACUCCUGAUUAAUUUGGUUUCUCUGUGUUACAGUUUCCUCUCUAAACUGUAACAUAAGGAGGUUGUAAAAAGCAACAUAAAUCAUCAAUCAAAGCAAAUAGGUGUAAGAUUAAAACCUCAUGAGCAAAAAAGCAGGUCCUGAUUUCAAGACAGUAUUAAACGCUGGCAGCGUGAAGCCAUUUUAAUCACGCAAAGCUAAAUGCAAAGAUUAAAAGACCCAUCAAGCUGAGCAGGGUUUUUAUACAACAUUGCCAUGGGUGGCUGAUGCACCAGUGUUUGAAGACUCUGUGGAAGGGUCCCAUUUUCACACACUUCCUCUUCCAGAACCAAAUCCUUAGGGGCAUUAGCUACCAUGCUAAUCUAGCCCGAUGCUGACAACAUUGGUUUGUUCAUUUGCUAUCAACUGAAAGUGUCUUAAAAAAAAUAAAUGCAAUUAAAAAUCUGCUACCCGUAAUCCUCUGAUUUGGGCAUCCUGAGUGUAUGAGUUAUCAUGCUCGAGCUUCUCCCAGCAUGUUAGACCCUCAAGACUAUGGCAUGUGCCAUUGGUAUGGUUAAUUGUGCCUAGAGUAAUAAGAUUUUGGAUUGGACAGACAGCGUCAUGAUAGGGGAAUCAUUAACUGCUCUCCUCUAGUAUAGUCAUACAUAAUAUUAGUGGGUGGGAUUUUCCAAGGCAGCUAAGCGAGUUAGGCCCAUUGAACUUCAAUAGGACUGGUGCUCUUAACUCAGAUGCUUUUGAACUGCCCCCUGCCCCCAUUAUUGUGGGUAACUGUUCCAUCUGUGCAAUUCCAUGUUCUAUCCUCCUGGAAGGCUCCAGCUAGUAUCAACUAUGCACAAGUAAGCAGCUUUUAUCCAAAGUGAAUGGGGGAGAGCUUGGUUCUUUUUCUAGAAGGACUUGAUGUUGUUACAUUUAGACAUUGGCACCUAGAUGCUGUGGUGAGGGGGGCCUGAGAAGCACUGAUGGUGAUAGUGUCCCAUUCCUAGCCUUAGCCCACCUCACUUCCUAACCUGUUUUUAAUCGCUGUUUCGCUUUCAGAAUUUGGGAAUCAAUGGAGUGUAUCCUAAGAGGAAAUGGCACUGGUGUGAGCUAGCCACAGUGCACGUUGGCACUCCACAGCAUUCUUAGCUCAUUUCUGAUCCCCGCUGUCACAUCAUUAAGAGUCAUUAAUUUUGGAGGAUUGUAGGGUGGAGGUAGAACGUGUGUAUGUCUCCUGUAGUCAUCUCCCUGCAGAAUGAAGCAGAACUGUCUAGUCCAUAGUCAGUUUUGCAGUCUAGUGCAUAGUCAGUUUGGUACUAGGAAAAGGUCUAGCAAGGGAAGACAGUAUCUUACUACUCACCCCCUGGCUCUGUUUUCUACACAUCACCUUCUCCCUGAUAUGUACCACCAAUCCCCCCAGAAUAAUGAAGGUCAGUGACAUCUGAAAGUGGUUAGGCAUCACUGGCACAUGAAAGUGUGAUCAGAACCAGCAAGUAAAGAUCUUCAUGUAUCUGAAUCACACCAGCGUGGGCAAUGCCUUCCAUGAGUAACCUCCACUGCAGCUGACUUAAAGCUUAAGAAACUGCACUGCAAUAGGUCUGGACCUCUCCCAAUUGUGAGAAACAUGCAGCAGCAGUAAAGAGCAAGUCAUUACUGUGAGUGCCAACAGUUUUUAAGAGCUUUUGAUAGUGUAUCUCUGGGGAAACAGCGAGUCAUGAGUGAGCCAUGGGAGUAAGAGUGUCACCUGAAAUGGGAUGGAGUUGAAUGCAGUGCAGAGGCAUGCUACUGAGCAGAGGUGGGAUGGGGGAAUCAAGGCUUGUAGGUUCAGGUCAGUUGUGACAGUAGUUGCUCCUCAUUGGCAUACACCAGAGCUGACCAUGCAGAGCUAGAAGGGAGAAAACAUGCUUAGCCUCUGGGAGGAGGAAGAAUUGCUCACCAGUGCCUCUGCUAGUCGGUUAAGGAUCUGCACUGAGGAGAUCCAAGGAUAGACACUGUCCUUUGUUCCCUACCUGGAAGGGUGGUAGCCAGGAAGCAGGGUCUCAGAGCUGGGAGUGGAAGGUGGAUAAAUGAUGGGGUGCGCAGAGCUCUGAGAGAAAGACCACAGCAGAAAGGGGCAAGGGAGGAAAAAGUUCCACUUAGAAGCAAUAAUAGUUCUUAAAUCAUUUCAUUUCUACCCCAUCCCUCCUGGAACAAUCCCACACACCUGGGAGCUACCUGUAUCCUUGCAUCCAUUUACCUCACACCAGGGAUCAAAACAAGGUAUUAUUUUUGGCCAUCAAGAUCUAUAAUUCCAUUACAUGGAUUUGGUUUUCUCAGUGCAAGCUCCAUUGGUAAAAGUGGACCUAUCACCACCAAAGGGGCUGAGAACUGAUGGUGUUUGAAACUAUCCAUUCUAUAGCCAGUGGUCCUGGAAACUAGAGGAAGUUAUGGGACAAACUGUAAGUCACUGACUGACCUUAACCCUGAGUUGGAGACACCCAGCACUUGUUGCUGGUGUGAAACAGAAUGCAACCACGUCAGCUGUGUGCUUCUCCGCAUGACACAUGAAUUGUUGCUGCAGAGGAAAUGGAAUCUGUGCUAUAGUUAACCAUCUCUUUCGAGGAGACUGCUUGUUAUGCCAAAUUGUGUACACAGACUAUAUGCCUAUGUGGGGUGUGAAGUGAUCCUGACCACUAUGAAUGCAGCAGCCACUCUUCACUCAGGAAACAUAGGUGAGGUGUAAGGUAGAGAUCUUGGUGUAUUCACACUUUGGUUUCCUGCCUGAAGGGAACAGCUACUUUAUGAAACUUAUGUGUAUCCUUGGGGCUCUCCUUUCACACUAAACAUAAAGAUGGUGAUUGAAGGAGCUGCACUUCUGAUAGACUCUACAGAUCAAUAAAGUUUCGCAGCACUCUUUCCAUCCUCCCUCCACACAGCUAACCCUCCCCUGUUACCUGAACGUUGGCAGCCGGGAAUUCAGAAAUGGCACAAGGGCAAAGCGCUUCUGAGAUGUUUUUGGGCAUAUAAUGAGUGCUGUCUUUACCUUUUCAGUCUCUUUGUUUGGAAGGCUCUAACCAGUAAGUAUCAGGUUAACUGCAAACUACAGUAGGAAGCCUUUUAAAUAACUCUUUUUCCAGAACAGGGACCUGCCUUCUUAACUGACAGGGCUGUACUAUUAAGAGGUCCAGAAGAAACCAUAUUCUGCUGUAAGCAUUCCCCAAAAGGAGAGACUGGUGCAUAAAACCAAGCUGUUGUUUGGACUUCCAAGGGGGCUGAAGUAUCCAAUCCUGCUUUAUGAAGAGGCAUUUUAAGAAUUAUAUUCAAAUAAAACACUUCUUCGUGGUUUCCCUUCAAGAUGCCCUCCUUGUCUCAGUGAAGUCCACUUCAGAGGAGUUUCUAUAUUAUGUAUUUAAAAUAAACAACAUCAAGAACCCAGCAUUCUACAGUAAUGGCCCUAAAUCUUCAGUUUAUAGCCAUGGGCUAUUACUGCUUAAUACUAGAGUCUUUUUAAAAAUAAAGUUCAUCCCAGGUAAAGUUCAUUUAAAGAAAGGAAAAGUCCAGUUCUCACAAUGUAGUGUAGUUGGACAUUGAUUAGAACUUUUCCCAAACCUCCAAGGUCAGGAACUGUGAGGUAAGUUAGCCCCUGAGGUAAGAAGCAAGUUUUCUUUACCAGUCAAAGGGAUGCAAUCAACUCAAUUAAUUAUUAUUUUUUUUAAAUAUGUAAUUUGUUUUCUCUUCAUGCUUUUUAAAACAUAAUCUCGGAGUAGCCUGAAAUAAUAUUUUCCCCUCCCACUUCUUCUGUUUUUCUCAGUUGCCGCAUUGAUUUUAAUUUAAUGUUCUUCUGGUGUUUCUGCCGAUCAAGCAAGUGCAAACGUGGCUGUAUUUGGUUACUUCCCUGUCAGUGCACCAGCAUCACUGGAACAUGCAAAGCUCUGGGGAACACAAUGGCCUUUAUGAGUUUGCUGCUACUGCUGCUGCCACAGCACAUGAUUUUUGGUAUGUUAGAUCAAAAGGGUUGUUAUGUUGUUUGUCAUUUCCAGCCAACUGUAACAAUUGGAUGGUAGGUUCUUUAUUUAUUUAUUUUUUUUUCACCUGAGCAGAUUGAGAAUGAUUCCUUUCAUGAACCACUGGACUCUGAGUCAGUGCAACAAUGCCAUUGUUAUUUAUAUCCUGAAAUCAGUGGCACUGGCUCAAUAGGAGGGAACACUCUUGAUGGACUGAAGUAGCAAGUUCAAUUUUCCUCAUUAGACUGGGAAUUCAGUGUGUCGGAGGGUGCAGCAGAACACUUCUGGUGUUAAAACAUUACCCAUCUGAAAGUUGAAUGGAGGAAAUAAGAGAUCAAAGAAGACGUUUCAGCUAGAUACAUACACGCCCAGUUUGAGGUCCUGACCUUUGGAAGAACAUCUCCUGUUAUACAGGUGUAACACUCAGGUCGUCUGACAAGGAGAGGCCAGAGUCCCUCUCUCUUGAUGUUUUCUCUGGCUUACAAAAAGGCUUCCUAUCCCUGUGCAGACUGGUGCUCCUCAGCACACCUGCUCUACCCAUUGCCAAAGCUGAAGGCCGAUCAGUGACAUAGUAGAGGUCAUCAUAUGCAUAAUUCACAUUGCCGCAGGGGAAAGUCUGGAGCUUCACCAGUUCUAUCUCACCAAUAUUCCUGUGAGGACAGUGGCUUCUGUUUGGAGAGGCUGGAGAUGCCCGAGAACUAGGGGAGGAGCUGCAGUUCCCAUCAAAACCUGAAUCUUCUCGCUCUGUGGUUGCUUUGAGCUUGGCAUUGGGACAGGAGCGGCAGAUAUUCUCCAUCACCCAGGAUCCAUAGGUUGGGUUCCAAAGGUUUCUGGUGUUGUGUUGUCUGUGUGCUGGCUGACUGCUUGAUUCCAACCUCUGGUUUGCGGUCUGUUGGAACCAUGACCUGCUGCUGGAAUCAGUGAGGCACGGUAGGCUGGGACCUCUGUCAGUCCAAUUGCCAAGGUUCUCCACCAGCAACUCCUGUGGACGUUGUCCAGCUUUAUGCCCAGCAUGAUGGGUUUCUAAUGUUAUGGGAGUCAGCUGAGGUGUGAGGGAUUGGUUCACCAGGAAAGGGACCAUUCCACUGGAACUAUUUGGGCACAUCACAGAGCUCCCCUCAUCCUCUGAUGCUGGUCCACAUUCAAUGGGCAGCUCUGUGUUGAUCACAUCAGGAUCCUGAAACAGAAAGGAUUCAGUAAUCACAUUUUACAUUCUGAACAUGCCCAGUUGUGACUUUUCCACAUACUUUUUCAGGGAAGUGUUCAGAAAAGUGAGAUAAUGUUAGCAGUGGUUAGCGCCAGCUGUGUGUAAUGCAGCCAUGCAUUGUGCAAGCUGCCAUGCAACAUUUUGAUUGUGCACCUUGCUUAUUAUUUGCUAAAACUUUUAUUUCAUUUUAGGGUUUCUUUUGAACACAGGUUGCCAUUUUGUGAUGCCUUAUUGAUAUUAAUGACUAGGCAGAGAUCACCAACAUCUAAUAAUUUCCUCUUGCGUCUUAAACUAUGCUUGGAUCCAGGUCUCCAGCAGCAAAAGGCUAGCAGCUUAUCAACCCCUCAUGCCCUCUCAUCCCCUUCUUCCAUACCAGUUCAGCUGUGGCUUUCACGGAAGUCUGGAAAAAAAACUUGAAGAGUGAAGUAAGGGCCUGAGAAGUUGUCUGGAAACCUUUCCAUCAAAAAUCAAACACUCUUCACUACUGAAUGAGCUGAGAGGUGGAAGCAGACCCUUUUCACAGGAAGGGAUUAUAUGCAUGCUGGUGGGGUGGAAGUAGGUGAGAUGAGAGAUGUACAGAAGCACAAAUGAAAAUACUAGCUGAAGUACAGGCCAAGCACAAAGGGAAUUGAGAAAGUAAUUAGCCAAUCAGAGCAAUCCAUUCCCUCUGUUUUGGGUGAUAAUGUUUGUAUCAUAGGAUGAUCUGGAUGCCAUAAACAAGUCAAAACUUAAAUCCUAAAGGCCAGUACCUGUGUGCAGUACUUGAUUCUUUCCAGAAUGGUGCAGAAAUUGGGCCGGUACUCCGGACUGUGCUGCCAACAUUGCGUCAUGAUCCGGUAACUUGACAUAAAUACAUAUUUGUGCCAAUUAAUAAUGAUAAAUCAAAACCACAAAUCAAUAUGGAUUCAUUUUUCAGGUCUGUCUCUGGGCCCAGUUUUCAGGUCCAGAAGAACUGCACUCAGCACAGUACCCAAGGGGCAGUGCAAACUUGGCCUUGUGUCAUUUUCAUGUUCCCUGAUCCUGGGGCCAUGGGAGGUGGGUGAGGGGAGGGAAGGUGCAAUUACUCAGUGCUGCUCUAAUUUGUGCCCAGCUGUCAAUAGUUCCAAGGGGAUUUUCUGGCAAAUGGGGAAUUUCUGGAGAGUACCUGUGCAUGCUUCAGUCAUGCUCUCUGGCCGCACACCUGAUAUGCUUCCUAAGGCAGGUGAGUAUUCACCACAUUGAGGAAAUCUGCUGGUAGUUGGUGGCAAAGAGGGCCUGUACAAGAUCCCAGAACUGGAGUCUGUAUUUUUAAUUGUAUGGAAGUUUAUUGGUGAUGAAAGUUGACAGGUUACCAGCCCUAGACAUUGAAGUCGUCGUUUUAUUCACAGAAUGGGUAUAACAUGGAAAUAGCAACUUAACCUUCCUUGCUUUGCCCUGCUUAUGUGCCUCAAUCAGGUUUUGGAAGGACCCCCUGGUAUGAGGACUUUGGGCAACUUUGACAUGUUUAAAGCUUUAUCUGUGAGAAGACCUCAGUUCCUGAUGACCAGCUGACGUCUCUACAUGUGCAUUGGACUCCCUAACACACACCCCUCCCCCCCCACCGGCUUGCGGAGAGUUCUUGGUUUCAUUCAAAAAGGCAACAAUACCAUUUCCUAUUACAUGUGGUGACCUUGGAGAUGGAGGCCUUGGGAGUCUACAGAACUGCCAUGUUUGGUGGAAUGUGUAACUGAAGUAUAACUGAGAGCAUACCAAGCUCUGCAGUCCUUUGGACAAGGAGGUGGUGAGUAGGCAAGACAGUUUCAGUGAGAAGAGGAAGACAGCUACCACCUGUGAUGCUGACAAGUAGUUUUAUGUGGACUUGUAGAUCCUACACACACAUCCAGAUUGUGACCAGAUGUGUGUAUUGCUAGAAGAGUGGUCCUCAGGAAUCUGUUGUGUGACAGUGAUGGGAGAUUCUCAUGAAUUUCUUACAGUGCAAUAUGCCUGACUCUGCUGGCUGGCCAUUCCAAAAAGUGUUGCCCUGGAGCCCCAUGGUCAGACCAUCUGGACAAAACGCUAGACCAUCUUUUGCUUCAGCUGACUUUGCCCUGAUGUGUGGCCCUUGUAACACCAACAUCUAAACCUCAAGUUACCCACAGACAUCAUCUGUGAAUGUCCUCUCAGAUGCUAGGAGGGUGUUUAUCAGCUUCUCAGAAUGAGUGAUUAUAGAUCUUUCCUCUCAGUUUCCCAGCUGAUGGGCUAGGCAGGUUUGGAUAUUGGUUCAGGAUAGGUCACUCUUGAACUAUGUUUUGUGUAUUUGUUGGGAGUUUGAGAGAAGGUUUGAGCUACAUCUGAAUCAGGUCUGAGAACCAAGACCUGAGGGUUUAUAAGAAGAGGUUUAUAAUCACUGUGGCCUGUUCCUUCACAAUCUUCACCUUCAGUGGCUGAGGAAGGAAAGGUAUAAAGUAGGCUUUUUAGUCCACUUCUGAGAUAAGAGGUGUGACGUUACACCCCCUAUUCUUCAUGGAAAUAUGGUUAUGAUAUGAAUAUGGUAUAACUAAGAUAUAAUUUAUGCAAGAUGGCUCAUGUGAGGUAUCAUUGGAAAGGUUAUGAUUUACUGAAUGUGUUUAUCCAAUUUGUAUGCCUGUAUCAUUUUUGUAUUUGAAGCUGGGAAUAUUGACCAUGUUUCUGUAUUUCAAAUGUGCUACGGUGGAUGAGGCUAAACAAUGUUAGUGGCUUAUUAAAGAAAUGUACACAUG